UACGUAGGGUGCGAGCGUUAAUCGGAAUUACUGGGCGUAAAGCGUGCGCAGGCGGUUCGUUAAGUCAGAUGUGAAAGCCCCGGGCUUAACCUGGGAAUGGCAUUUGAGACUGGCGAGCUGGAGUCUGGCAGAGGGGAGAUUGGAAUGCUCGGUGUAGCAGUGAAAUGCGUAGAUAUCGAGCGGAACACCAGUGGCGAAGGCGGCUUUCUGGCCUGAUUCUGACGCUGAGGAGCGAAAGCCAGGGGAGCGAACGGG
RNAcentral lists this ribosomal RNA (255 nucleotides) under uncultured prokaryote. RNAcentral's name for it is "partial 16S ribosomal RNA". It matches the Rfam family "Bacterial small subunit ribosomal RNA", at positions 524 to 776 of the family's 1533-position model. The record is from RNAcentral.